ACACAUUUAUUUAAUCACUUUCAUUUCAAAAUACUGUUCCAAUCCUGUGCAGAAACAAAUUUUUACUAAGUGACUGCAGCUGUUUCGCAAUGCAACCAAAAUUAAAUAAGUGGUUGGUGGUGUUCUGACAAUGGAACUUAAACCGGCAGAAUGAAAGCAAGAACCGAAGACAAAUUUAGGAAUGGCACUUUUUGAUAUUAACAUACUAUUAAUUGCGUUUAUAAUUAUUUAAUUAUAUUAAAGCUUAUUUAGUUAUCAUUAGAAAUUAAUUUCACUAGAUGUAGCCAAAUAUAAGUAUUGCGCAUUAAAGUAUUGAACAGAUUUAUAUUUAAUAAUUUCUACAAUAUAAACUUUCUAAAUUAUAUGUAUUGAUUGCUAUUGCUCUUUGAAAUGUAGAAAGGAAUUGUUUUUCUUUUUAUUCGUUUUUAAAAUACAAUGAUAGCUCGACAGUUAUUGUAGUAUCAAGUAAUUGUUAAUCAUGUCAAAUUUGUUUUUCCUAUUUAAAUAUAUAGUAAUACCAGUAUCUAAUAAUCAUGCAGUGGGUGUUUGGUUUAUGACACCCCCCCUCCCCUUUGAGCAGUAUCAAAUCAAAUUAUUA
Myzus persicae (green peach aphid) is the source of this 598-nucleotide long non-coding RNA. RefSeq lists it as uncharacterized. The record is from RefSeq and is a predicted model, not a curated record. The transcript has 3 exons. NCBI's taxonomy places the organism in Eukaryota, Metazoa, Arthropoda, Insecta, Hemiptera, Aphididae.